RNAcentral lists this ribosomal RNA (433 nucleotides) under uncultured bacterium. Its description in RNAcentral is "partial 16S ribosomal RNA". It matches the Rfam family "Bacterial small subunit ribosomal RNA", at positions 29 to 507 of the family's 1533-position model. The record is from RNAcentral.
AACGAACGCUGGCGGCAUGCCUAACACAUGCAAGUCGAACGAGACCUUCGGGUCUAGUGGCGCACGGGUGCGUAACGCGUGGGAACCUGCCCUUAGGUUCGGAAUAACUCCCCGAAAGGGGUGCUAAUACCGGAUAAUGUCUUCGGACCAAAGAUUUAUCGCCUUUGGAUGGGCCCGCGUUGGAUUAGCUAGUUGGUAGGGUAAAAGCCUACCAAGGCGACGAUCAAUAGCUGGUCUGAGAGGAUGAUCAGCCACACUUGGACUGAGACGCGGCCCAGACUCCUACGGGAGGCAGCAGUGGGGAAUAUUGGACAAUGGGCGAAAGCCUGAUCCAGCAAUGCCGCGUGAGUGAUGAAGGCCUUAGGGUUGUAAAGCUCUUUUACCCGGGAUGAUAAUGACAGUACCGGGAGAAUAAGCUCCGGCUAACUCCGUG